GGGACGAUGUUGCCCGCCGAACGCCUGCCCUGGCUCCCUGAAAGCACCUCAGAGCUGCCCGCGCCUUCCUCUGAGGGAAACGGCGCAGGGCUCUGCUCGCCGCAAGGAGGGGGCAGGUGCCUGUGGGGUGACCCAGCUCGGGGAAUGUCUGUGGAGCAUCCCUGGGGAUCUUCUAAAUCCGUUGGACAGUGAGCAGCCGGCUGUGGGUAGCUUUGCUUGAGCAUGGAGGGCUAGAGAAGUUGACCUCCAGAGAGGCCGGCUUCCCAACAGCACAAGGUCGGAGCAGCCUAGUUGAUGACCUAGUAAGAGCCAUGUGCAAGCUUUCAUAAAGAUACGAGUCUCCAGUCCUACGACCUUGCAUAUUCCAGUGCAUCCCAGCUUUCCAACAAAGGGCAGUUGCUGCUGUUUCCUCUUUACAGCACAGUGCAUUUUCAGGUCAUAAUCCUCAGAUGAAACCACUCCCACUGCCUGGGAGCAAUUUGUAAUGACACUCCUGACACAUCAAAGUGCGCCUUAAGAAUAGAUGAGGCUGCUCUGUGAAGCACUGGGUUAAAAAAGUACAAGGUGAUUGACUCAUUCGUGGUCCAUGGCUGUACAAACACUUCUAAAUUGCUUCCGGCCAAUGUUCUAGCACCUUUACCAUAGAAACAAGAGGUAGCAUGGCAAGCCAAGCUGUCCUUCAAGAGUCUCAUCAAAUGAAAACAUAGCUGUGAAAAUGUGUACACAAAAGCAGUGUUUGUAAAGGGUUAUAUUGUUGCACUUCUGCAGUCUCUUGCUCCUGUUUGUGUACCAAGCUUUGGUGAA
Neopsephotus bourkii (Bourke's parrot) is the source of this 804-nucleotide long non-coding RNA. RefSeq lists it as uncharacterized. The transcript is spliced from 3 exons. NCBI's taxonomy places the organism in Eukaryota, Metazoa, Chordata, Aves, Psittaciformes, Psittacidae. The record is from RefSeq and is a predicted model, not a curated record.